This 73-nucleotide transfer RNA is filed under the name Stegodyphus mimosarum. It matches the Rfam family "tRNA". From Rfam's summary of the family: Transfer RNA (tRNA) molecules are approximately 80 nucleotides in length. Their secondary structure includes four short double-helical elements and three loops (D, anti-codon, and T loops). Lineage: Eukaryota; Metazoa; Arthropoda; Arachnida; Araneae; Eresidae. The record is from Rfam by way of RNAcentral.
GCCUUCGUGGUGUUGUGGUCAGCACGUUCAACGUGCAUUCGAGAGGUCCGAGGUUCAAGUCCCGGCGAGGGCA